This 171-nucleotide ribosomal RNA is filed under the name Arabidopsis thaliana (thale cress). Lineage: Eukaryota; Viridiplantae; Streptophyta; Magnoliopsida; Brassicales; Brassicaceae. The record is from RNAcentral.
UCAUAAAGUCUUCAAAAAAGAAUAGAUAUGAUUGCAUUGCAUGUAGUAACACAUGCGAUCAUACCAGCACUAAUGCACCGGAUCCCAUCAGAACUCCGCAGUUAAGUGUGCUUGGGCGAGAGUAGUACUAGGAUGGGUGACCUCCAGGAAAGUCCUCGUGUUGCAUCCCUC